GUCAAUGAAAUAGACUGAAACGCCAUGAAACGUAACUAUUGCGCAUUCGUAAUGCGAAGGUCAGGAGUUCGAUUCCCCUUAUCGGCACCA
This 90-nucleotide transfer RNA is filed under the name Aeromonas veronii. Its description in RNAcentral is "tRNA-Thr". Lineage: Bacteria; Pseudomonadati; Pseudomonadota; Gammaproteobacteria; Aeromonadales; Aeromonadaceae. The record is from RNAcentral.